Molecule: ribosomal RNA, 534 nt
Filed under: uncultured bacterium
Lineage: Bacteria
Description: bacterial SSU rRNA
Rfam family: Bacterial small subunit ribosomal RNA
Source: RNAcentral
CUCCUACGGGUGGCUGCAGUAAGGAAUAUUGGUCAAUGGACGAAAGUCUGAACCAGCCAUGCCGCGUGGAGGAUGAAGGUCCUCUGGAUUGUAAACUUCUUUUAUAUGGGACGAAAAAGGGACUUUCUAGUUCAACUGACGGUACCAUAUGAAUAAGCACCGGCUAACUCCGUGCCAGCAGCCGCGGUAAUACGGAGGGUGCAAGCGUUAUCCGGAUUCACUGGGUUUAAAGGGUGCGUAGGUGGGUUGGUAAGUCAGUGGUGAAAUCUCCGAGCUUAACUUGGAAACUGCCAUUGAUACUAUCAGUCUUGAAUACCGUGGAGGUCAGCGGAAUAUGUCAUGUAGCGGUGAAAUGCUUAGAUAUGACAUAGAACACCAAUUGCGAAGGCAGCUGGCUACACGAAUAUUGACACUGAGGCACGAAAGCGUGGGGAUCAAACAGGAUUAGAUACCCUGGUAGUCCACGCCCUAAACUAUGGAUACUCGACAUACGCGAUACACAGUGUGUGUCUGAGCGAAAGCAUUAAGUAUCCC